CAAGUCGAACGGUGAAGGUGGAGCUUGCUCCGCCGGAACAGUGGCGAACGGGUGAGUAACACGUGGGCAAUCUGCCCCUAACUCUGGGAUAACUACUCGAAAGAGUAGCUAAUACCGGAUACGAAAUCUGAGGACAUCCUCGGAUUUGGAAAGUUUUUCGGUUAGGGAUGAGCCCGCGGCCUAUCAGCUAGUUGGUGGGGUAGUGGCUCACCAAGGCGACGACGGGUAGCCGGCCUGAGAGGGCGACCGGCCACACUGGGACUGAGACACGGCCCAGACUCC
Molecule: ribosomal RNA, 282 nt
Filed under: unidentified marine bacterioplankton
Lineage: Bacteria
Description: partial 16S ribosomal RNA
Rfam family: Bacterial small subunit ribosomal RNA
Source: RNAcentral